RNAcentral lists this ribosomal RNA (392 nucleotides) under uncultured bacterium. RNAcentral describes it as "bacterial SSU rRNA". It matches the Rfam family "Bacterial small subunit ribosomal RNA", at positions 28 to 406 of the family's 1533-position model. The record is from RNAcentral.
GACGAACGCUGGCGGCGUGCCUAACACAUGCAAGUCGUGCGAGAAAGUUCCUUCGGGAGCGAGUAAAGCGGCGCACGGGUGAGUAACACGUAGGUAACCUGCCCCCCAGUCUGGAACAACUAGAGGAAACUCUAGCUAAUGCCGGAUGAGACCACGAUCCCCUUCGGGGGUUGCGGCCAAAGAUGGCCUCUACUUGUAAGCUAUCGCUGAGGGAUGGGCCUGCGGGCCAUUAGCUUGUUGGUGAGGUAACGGCUCACCAAGGCUGUGAUGGCUAGCUGGUCUGAGAGGAUGACCAGCCACACUGGGACUGAGACACGGCCCAGACUCCUACGGAGCAGCAGUGGGAAUAUUGCGCAAUGGGCGAAAGCCUGACGCAGCGACGCCGCGUGGGU